UGUCUCUAAGAAGAACAAUCCUUCUUUUUGUGCAAAUUCUUUAGCAUCCUCGGUGGGAACAGCUCGUUGAUCUUCAAGAUCGGUUUUGUUUCCGAUCAGCAUAAUAACGAUGUUCUUGUCAGCAUGUGCACGUAAUUCUUCAAGCCAGCGUGGGAUGUGAUCAAAGGUCUGACGUUUUGUUAUGUCGUAAACCAACAGAGCUCCGACAGCUCCCCUGUAGUACGCACUCGUGACAGCUCUAUAUCUUUCUUGGCCAGCAGUA
Molecule: unclassified non-coding RNA, 262 nt
Filed under: Hevea brasiliensis (rubber tree)
Lineage: Eukaryota; Viridiplantae; Streptophyta; Magnoliopsida; Malpighiales; Euphorbiaceae
Source: RNAcentral